RNAcentral lists this ribosomal RNA (581 nucleotides) under Sparus aurata (gilthead seabream). RNAcentral's name for it is "SSU rRNA". It matches the Rfam family "Eukaryotic small subunit ribosomal RNA", at positions 1 to 549 of the family's 1831-position model. Lineage: Eukaryota; Metazoa; Chordata; Actinopteri; Spariformes; Sparidae. The record is from RNAcentral.
GUACAACACCAUCUACCUGAUUGAUCCUGCCAGUAGCAUAUGCUUUGUCUCAAAGAUUAAGCCAUGCAAGUCUAAGUACACACGCCCGGUACAGUGAAACUGCGAAUGGCUCAUUAAAUCAGUUAUGGUUCCUUUGAUCGCUCUACCGUUACUUGGAUAACUGUGGUAAUUCUAGAGCUAAUACAUGCCAACGAGCGCUGACCUCCGGGGAUGCGUGCAUUUAUCAGACCCAAAACCCAUGCGGGGCGGCUCUCGGGCCGCCCCGGCCGCUUUGGUGACUCUAGAUAACCUCGAGCCGAUCGCUGGCCCCCGUGGCGGCGACGUCUCAUUCGAAUGUCUGCCCUAUCAACUUUCGAUGGUACUUUCUGUGCCUACCAUGGUGACCACGGGUAACGGGGAAUCAGGGUUCGAUUCCGGAGAGGGAGCCUGAGAAACGGCUACCACAUCCAAGGAAGGCAGCAGGCGCGCAAAUUACCCACUCCCGACUCGGGGAGGUAGUGACGAAAAAUAACAAUACAGGACUCUUUCGAGGCCCUGUAAUUGGAAUGAGUACACUUUAAAUCCUUUAACGAGGAUCAAUU